This is a long non-coding RNA of Eucalyptus grandis, 454 nucleotides long. RefSeq lists it as uncharacterized. NCBI's taxonomy places the organism in Eukaryota, Viridiplantae, Streptophyta, Magnoliopsida, Myrtales, Myrtaceae. The record is from RefSeq and is a predicted model, not a curated record. The transcript is spliced from 3 exons.
UGUUGGAGAAUUCAAGAAUGAGGUUGCUUUGGUAGCAAAUCUUCAACAUCGAAAUCUUGUGCAGCUGCUUGGGUUUUGCUUAGAGGGAGAAGAAAAUUAACUUGUCUAUGAGUUUAUAUUGAUAAGAGAACGCAGUUGGAUUGGUCAUGAUGUUACAAGAUAAUAUCUGGAGUUGCUCGAGGAAUGCUCUAUUUGCACGAAGAUUCUAGAUUGCGGAUCAUUCAUCGUGAUCUAAAACCAAGCAAUAUCCUGUUAGACGGUGAUAUGAACCCAAAGAUUUCAUAUUUCGGCAUGGCUAGGGUUUUCGGAGUAGAUCAAACUUGGGCAAAGACUAAUCACAUUGUGGGGACCUUUGGUUACCUAUCUCCUGAGUAUGCAAUGCGUGGGCAAAUCUCAGCAAAGUCCGAUGUCUAUAGUUUUGGUGUUCUAACCCUAGAGAUCAUUGGUGGCAAAA